CAGCAGCCGCGGUAAACCGUAGGAGGCGAGCGUUAUCCGGAUUUACUGGGCGUAAAGGGCGUCUAGGCGGUGUUUUAAGUUGAGCGUGAAAUCUCCCGGCUCAACUGGGAGAGGUCGUUCGAUACUGGGACACUUGAGGGCGGGAGAGGGAAGUGGAAUUCCCGGU
This 166-nucleotide ribosomal RNA is filed under the name uncultured bacterium. RNAcentral's name for it is "partial 16S ribosomal RNA". It matches the Rfam family "Bacterial small subunit ribosomal RNA", at positions 509 to 674 of the family's 1533-position model. The record is from RNAcentral.